UACGUCGGCAGCAAGCGUUGUUCGGAAUUACUGGGCGUAAAGAGUGUGUAGGCGGCGCUCUAAGUUCGGUGUGAAAUCUCCCGGCUUAACUGGGAGGGUGCGCCGGAAACUGGAGUGCUCGAGCGUGGGAGAGGAAAGCGGAAUUCCUGGUGUAGCGGUGAAAUGCGUAGAUAUCAGGAGGAACACCUGCGGUGUAGACGGCUUUCUGGACCAUUGCUGACGCUGAGACACGAAAGCGUGGGUAGCAAACAGG
This 253-nucleotide ribosomal RNA is filed under the name uncultured bacterium. RNAcentral's name for it is "partial 16S ribosomal RNA". It matches the Rfam family "Bacterial small subunit ribosomal RNA", at positions 524 to 776 of the family's 1533-position model. The record is from RNAcentral.